RNAcentral lists this long non-coding RNA (360 nucleotides) under Ornithorhynchus anatinus (platypus). Its description in RNAcentral is "lncRNA (ENSOANG00000037153.1)". The record is from RNAcentral. Lineage: Eukaryota; Metazoa; Chordata; Mammalia; Monotremata; Ornithorhynchidae.
AUGCAACCCCCACCCCGAAAUAAAAGUUGCCUGCCUGUGCAUCACUUUGCAGACAGGCGACAGGCUCCGACAGAGCGCUCGGUACAGUGGCCGCUAGAUAAUGAGCGCUCCCUGGCUGCCGCGAUUCUGAAAAGUCCCCGGGGGGGGGGGGCAACUCACCUGUCCGGGGCUGGCGAGGGGAGCCGCGGGCUAGCCAGGGAGGGGGCUUCUCGCCCGCGUCCGAAGGAGCAUCGCUGGGCCUCGAUGCCGUCGGAGGAAUUCAGCCGCAGAGGCAAAAAGUCCCCGCGGUUUGCACUGCCAGCUCCACCGGAAUCCCUCCCAAAUACCAUACGGCUUCCCGCGGCAACCAGGAAAAUGUGA